UAUUGGACCUUUGAACAAUUUGAGGUGAGAAUCCACCAUUCGCACCUCUUUGCUAUACAAGUUAGUUUGUUGCCUGGGAUAUGGGCCCUCUCACCCUAAGCACUUAGCAGAAUGUUGCUGAAGUCCAGUCCUAGCUGUCAUUUGAGCCUGUGUUUAUGUUGGAAUCCAUUCUCCUUGUAGCUGCCCAAAAUUUUAGCAUGCCUUCAUUUUCUUCUCCUCUUCCUCUCUCUCUCUCUCG
RNAcentral lists this unclassified non-coding RNA (238 nucleotides) under Hevea brasiliensis (rubber tree). The record is from RNAcentral. Lineage: Eukaryota; Viridiplantae; Streptophyta; Magnoliopsida; Malpighiales; Euphorbiaceae.